RNAcentral lists this ribosomal RNA (253 nucleotides) under uncultured bacterium. RNAcentral describes it as "partial 16S ribosomal RNA". It matches the Rfam family "Bacterial small subunit ribosomal RNA", at positions 524 to 776 of the family's 1533-position model. The record is from RNAcentral.
UACGGAGGGUGCGAGCGUUGUCCGGAAUUACUGGGCGUAAAGAGCUCGUAGGUGGUUUGUCGCGUUGUCCGUGAAAACUCACAGCUCAACUGUGGGCGUGCGGGCGAUACGGGCAGACUGGAGUACUGCAGGGGAGACUGGAAUUCCUGGUGUAGCGGUGAAAUGCGCAGAUAUCAGGAGGAACACCGGUGGCGAAGGCGGGUCUCUGGGCAGUAACUGACGCUGAGGAGCGAAAGCGUGGGGAGCGAACAGG